This 440-nucleotide ribosomal RNA is filed under the name uncultured bacterium. Its description in RNAcentral is "partial 16S ribosomal RNA". It matches the Rfam family "Bacterial small subunit ribosomal RNA", at positions 338 to 795 of the family's 1533-position model. The record is from RNAcentral.
CCUACGGGAGGCAGCAGUAGGGAAUAUUGCUCAAUGGAGGAAACCCUGAAGCAGCAACGCAGCGUGGAGGAUGAAGGUUUUCGGAUUGUAAACUCCUUUUGAUAGAGAAGUUAAUGACGGUAUCUAACGAAUAAGCACCGGCUAACUCCGUGCCAGCAGCCCCGGUAAUACGGAGGCUGCCAGCGUUACUCGGAAUCACUGGGCGUAAAGAGAGCGUAGGCGGGAUAGCAAGUCAGAUGUGAAAUCCUAUGGCUUAACCAUAGAACUGCAUUUGAAACUGUUAUUCUAGAGUAUGGGAGAGGUAGGUGGAAUUCUUGGUGUAGGGGUAAAAUGCGUAGAGAUCAAGAGGAAUACUCAUUGCGAAGGCGACCUGCUAGAACAUAACUGACGCUGAUGCGCGAAAGUGUGGGGAGCAAACAGGAUUAGAUACCCUUGUAGUC